Camellia sinensis is the source of this 346-nucleotide non-coding RNA. Lineage: Eukaryota; Viridiplantae; Streptophyta; Magnoliopsida; Ericales; Theaceae. The record is from RefSeq and is a predicted model, not a curated record.
UGCCAUUGCCCUUGCCAUGAUCAAAGUCAGUGUUUCUUCUUCAAAAUGUAUCAUCUUUCUGUAUCUUUGGAAUUUUUCUUCUCAAGAGAGCCCUAAGAUUUUUCUUCUUGUACAUGCAGAUUUAUAGCUGGAGAACAUGGGAAAAUCAAGCGAAGUCAAUGGCUCCACAGGAACUACAAGGUUCCCCGCAAUCUGCCUCAAACCACACAAAAAUGAGGCGACUAUCAACUUUCAUUUUUCACCACACAUCCCAUCCAUGGAGCCAGCAUAGAGUUCUUGUUUGGCUGCUUUGUUUCAGCCGCCAGUUUUGGAGUUCCAUUAAUCAAGCUGACUACAUGGCCUUGCG